RNAcentral lists this ribosomal RNA (205 nucleotides) under uncultured bacterium. RNAcentral describes it as "partial 16S ribosomal RNA". It matches the Rfam family "Bacterial small subunit ribosomal RNA", at positions 570 to 774 of the family's 1533-position model. The record is from RNAcentral.
CGUAGGCGGUUUCUUAAGUCAGAUGUGAAAGCCCGGGGCUUAACCCCGGAAGUGCAUCUGAUACUGGGUAACUUGAGUAUGGGAGAGGGAAGUGGAAUUCCUGGUGUAGAGGUGAAAUUCGUAGAUAUCAGGAGGAACACCGGUGGCGAAGGCGACUUCCUGGACCAAUACUGACGCUGAGGCGCGAAGGCGUGGGGAGCAAACA